This 447-nucleotide ribosomal RNA is filed under the name uncultured bacterium. RNAcentral describes it as "SSU rRNA". It matches the Rfam family "Bacterial small subunit ribosomal RNA", at positions 26 to 518 of the family's 1533-position model. The record is from RNAcentral.
AGAGCGAACGCUGGCGGCAGGCCUAACACAUGCAAGUCGAGCGCCCGUAGCAAUACGGGAGCGGCAGACGGGAUAGUAACACGUGGGAACGCGCCCUUCGGUUCGGAAUAACUCAGGGAAACUUGAGCUAAUACCGGAUACGCCCUUACGGGGAAAGAUUUAUUGCCGAAGGAACGGCCCGCGUCCGAUUAGCUAGUUGGUGAGGUAAUGGCUCACCAAGGCGACGAUCGGUAGCUGGUCUGAGAGGAUGACCAGCAUCACUGGGACUGAGACACGGCCCAGACUCCUACGGGAGGCAGCAGUGGGGAAUAUUGGACAAUGGGCGCAAGCCUGAUCCAGCCAUGCCGCGUGGAUGAUGAAGGCCUUAGGGUUGUAAAAUUCUUUCAGCGGGGACGAUAAUGACGGUACCCGCAGAAGAAGCCCGGCUAACUUCGCGUCAGCAGCCGC